GAUUUGAUCGUGGCUCAGAUUGAACGCUGGCGGCAUGCCUUACACAUGCAAGUCGAACGGCAGCACGGGAGCUUGCUCCUGGUGGCGAGUGGCGAACGGGUGAGUAAUGCAUCGGAACGUAUCCUGGAGUGGGGGAUAACGUAGCGAAAGUUACGCUAAUACCGCAUAUUCUGUGAGCAGGAAAGCGGGGGACCUUCGGGCCUCGCGCUCUUGGAGCGGCCGAUGUCGGAUUAGCUAGUUGGUGAGGUAAAGGCUCACCAAGGCGACGAUCCGUAGCAGGUCUGAGAGGAUGAUCUGCCACACUGGAACUGAGACACGGUCCAGACUCCUACGGGAGGCAGCAGUGGGGAAUUUUGGACAAUGGGGGCAACCCUGAUCCAGCCAUGCCGCGUGAGUGAAGAAGGCCUUCGGUUGUAAG
This 418-nucleotide ribosomal RNA is filed under the name bacterium enrichment culture clone ALO1_GLFRUDD03G8C7P. Its description in RNAcentral is "bacterial SSU rRNA". It matches the Rfam family "Bacterial small subunit ribosomal RNA", at positions 10 to 429 of the family's 1533-position model. The record is from RNAcentral.